RNAcentral lists this ribosomal RNA (253 nucleotides) under uncultured bacterium. RNAcentral describes it as "partial 16S ribosomal RNA". It matches the Rfam family "Bacterial small subunit ribosomal RNA", at positions 524 to 776 of the family's 1533-position model. The record is from RNAcentral.
UACGUAGGGAGCAAGCGUUGUUCGGAUUUACUGGGCGUAAAGGGCGCGUAGGCGGCCAUUCAAGUCAGCUGUGAAAUCUCCGGGCUUAACUCGGAACGGUCAGCUGAUACUGCUUUGCUAGAGUGCAGAAGGGGCAAUCGGAAUUCUUGGUGUAGCGGUGAAAUGCGUAGAUAUCAAGAGGAACACCUGAGGUGAAGACGGGUUGCUGGGCUGACACUGACGCUGAGGCGCGAAAGCUAGGGUAGCAAACGGG